This 384-nucleotide long non-coding RNA is filed under the name Olea europaea (common olive). RNAcentral's name for it is "long non-coding RNA (OEUR_LNC003556)". Lineage: Eukaryota; Viridiplantae; Streptophyta; Magnoliopsida; Lamiales; Oleaceae. The record is from RNAcentral.
CGAGCCUUCGUCGAGAAGUGAUGGCUGAUGAUAUAGGUCGAGAUAUGACCGCUGCAGAGAGUGGCUUGGAUUUGUGACACGUGUCUUCGUGGACGGUCGUAGAUAGCGACCUUUGGCCUCCCAUCGUUUUCACCUAUAAAUACUAUUGUUCUCACCUUCAUUUUUCACUUUUACCCACUGUAAAUCAGAGUUUUGCGAGGUCGUGCUCGAGAAAAACACUUUUGGGAACUUCUCAAGUCGUCGGGAACUCCAGGUAAGGCUCGAGACUUUAAGUUAUUCAUAAGCUAGGUCUUAAGUUUGUUAAGUGAUGUCGAGUAGUGAGGGUCGAGAAUCUUCUAGCAGUUCUAGUAGUAGUGAGGACGUAUGGACCUCGAUAAUACCGAC